GUAUGCCCCCUUGUAGCUGCAGAUACAAGAGGCGUUGCAUUUGAUGGGCCAUAUGUUUGGCUCAGGGUUGGGUCAUGAUCUAGUAGAACUUGGACAAUGGCAUGGUGCCCUUGCACAGCAGCAAUAUGCAACGGAUCAUAGCCUGACCUAUUCUUCCUUGUAAUGCACUCUCUACUCGAAUACUUUAACAACUCCUUUACCACCUCAAGAUG
RNAcentral lists this unclassified non-coding RNA (212 nucleotides) under Hevea brasiliensis (rubber tree). The record is from RNAcentral. Lineage: Eukaryota; Viridiplantae; Streptophyta; Magnoliopsida; Malpighiales; Euphorbiaceae.